ACAGUGGACGCGAGCAUCUUUGUUGUAAGUGUUUAAGAGCGUACGGUGGAUGCCUUGGCACCAGGAGCCGAUGAAGGACGUAGGAGGCUGCGAUAAGCCUCGGGGAGCUGUCAACCGAGCUGAGAUCCGAGGAUGUCCGAAUGGGGAAACCCAGCCACAGUGAUGUGUGGUUACCCGCGCCUGAAUAUAUAGGGCGUGAGGAGGGAACGUGGGGAAGUGAAACAUCUCAGUACCCACAGGAAGAGAAAACAACAUGUGAUUCCGUGAGUAGUGGCGAGCGAAAGCGGAAGAGGCUAAACCAUGGGUGUGUGAUAGCCGGCGGGCGUUGCAUUCGUGGGGUUGUGGGAUCCGUCUUGUCAAUUCUGCCGGAUUGGCCGACAGUGAGAAAUCAUCGUGUUAGUCGAAGUGGUCUGGAACGGCCUGUCGUAGAGGGUGAGAGUCCCGUAGACGAAAACAUGGUGACUGUCGUGACGGACACCCGAGUAGCAGCGGGCCCGUGAAAUCUGCUGUGAAUCUGUCGGGACCACCCGAUAAGCCUGAAUACUCCCUGGUGACCGAUAGCGGACUAGUACCGUGAGGGAAAGGUGAAAAGUACCCCGGGAGGGGAGUGAAAUAGUACCUGAAACCGUGCGCUUACAAUCCGUCAGAGCCUGCGCCACUUCGGUGGGUGGGUGAUGGCGUGCCUUUUGAAGAAUGAGCCUGCGAGUUAGCGGCAUGUCGCGAGGUUAACCCGUGUGGGGUAGCCGUAGCGAAAGCGAGUCCGAAUAGGGCGUUUGUAGUGGCAUGUUCUAGACCCGAAGCGGAGUGAUCUACCCAUGGCCAGGGUGAAGCGACGGUAAGACGUCGUGGAGGCCCGAACCCACUUAGGUUGAAAACUGAGGGGAUGAGCUGUGGGUAGGGGUGAAAGGCCAAUCAAACUCCGUGAUAGCUGGUUCUCCCCGAAAUGCAUUUAGGUGCAGCGUCGCGUGUUUCACUCUGGAGGUAGAGCUACUGGAUGGCCGAUGGGCCCCACAAGGUUACUGACGUCAGCCAAACUCCGAAUGCCAGAGUGUGAGAGCGCGGCAGUGAGACUGCGGGGAUAAGCUUCGUAGUCGAGAGGGAAACAGCCCAGAUCGCCGGCUAAGGCCCCUAAGCGUGUACUAAGUGGAAAAGGAUGUGGGGUCGCGAAGACAACCAGGAGGUUGGCUUAGAAGCAGCCACCCUUGAAAGAGUGCGUAAUAGCUCACUGGUCAAGUGAUCCUGCGCCGACAAUGUAGCGGGGCUCAAGUACACCGCCGAAGCCGCGGCAUUCACAUAACACCCAUGCGGGUCUACGGGCCUGUGUGCAGUGGUGUGGAUGGGUAGGGGAGCGUCGUGCAGCCAUGGAAGCGCCGGAGUGAUCCAGGUGUGGAGGCUGCACGAGUGAGAAUGCAGGCAUGAGUAGCGAAAGACGAGUGAGAAACUCGUCCGCCGAAUGACCAAGGGUUCCUGGGCCAGGUUAAUCCGCCCAGGGUGAGUCGGGACCUAAGGCGAGGCCGACAGGCGUAGUCGAUGGACAACGGGUUGAUAUUCCCGUACCCGUGUGAAACGCGCCCUGGUGAAUCAGUGAUGCUAAGCGCCCUGAAGCCGCCUUCGAACCUUCGGGUUCUCCGGUGUGUGGAUGCGCGUGAACCGAUCUGGUAGUAGCCAAGCGAUGGGGUGACGCAGGAAGGUAGCUGAGCCAGUCAGUGGUAAUACUGGUGUAAGCGUGUAGGGCGUGACCUAGGCAAAUCCGGGUCACAUACAGCCUGAGACGUGAUGCGUAGCCGAUUGAGGCGAAUUCAGUGAUCCUAUGCUGCCGAGAAAAGCCUCUAGCGAGCUUUCACACGGCCCGUACCCCAAACCGACACAGGUGGUCAGGUAGAGAAUACUAAGGCGAUCGAGAUAACUGUGGUUAAGGAACUCGGCAAAAUGCCCCGUAACUUCGGGAGGGGGGGCCUCGUCUGGUGACGGAACUUGCUUCCUGAGCUGGGUGGGGCCGCAGAGACCAGAGAGAAGCGAGUUUACUAAAAACACAGGUCCGUGCGAAGUCGUAAGACGAUGUAUACGGACUGACGCCUGCCCCGGUGCUGGAAGGGUUAAGAGGACCGGUUAGCCAGUAAUGGCGAAGCUGAGAAUUUAAGCCCCAGUAAACGGCGGUGGUAACUAUAACAUCCUAAGGUAGCGAAAUUCCUUGUCGGGUAAGUUCCGACCUGCACGAAUGGCGUAACGACUUCUCUGCUGUCUCAACCACAGACUCGGCGAAAUUGCAUUACGAGUAAAGAUGCUCGUUACGCGCGGCAGGACGAAAAGACCCCGGGACCUUCACUAUAGCUUGGUAUUGGUGUUCGGUUCGGUUUGUGUAGGAUAGGUGGGAGACUGUGAAGCGGGCACGCCAGUGUUCGUGGAGUCGUUGUUGAAAUACCACUCUGAUCGUAUUGGACAUCUAACCUCGGACCAUGAUCUGGUUCAGGGACAGUGCCUGGUGGGUAGUUUAAUGGGGCGGUUGCCUCCCAAAAUGUAACGGAGGCGCCCAAAGGUUCCUCAGCCUGGUUGGCAAUCAGGUGUCGAGUGCAAGUGCACAAGGGAGCUUGACUGUGAGACU
RNAcentral lists this ribosomal RNA (2602 nucleotides) under Rhodococcus (subgen. Prescottella) equi. RNAcentral's name for it is "Rhodococcus hoagii partial 23S ribosomal RNA". It matches the Rfam family "Bacterial large subunit ribosomal RNA", at positions 1 to 2382 of the family's 2925-position model. The record is from RNAcentral. Lineage: Bacteria; Bacillati; Actinomycetota; Actinomycetes; Mycobacteriales; Nocardiaceae.